UGGGGAAUCUUGCGCAAUGGACGAAAGUCUGACGCAGCCACGCCGCGUGAGUGAAGAAGGCCUUCGGGUUGUAAAGCUCUGUCGGAGGGGACGAAAAUACUUCGAGUUCAUAGCCCCAGGAACUGACGGUACCCUUAAAGGAAGCACCGGCUAACUCUGUGCCAGCAGCCGCGGUAAUACAGAGGGUGCAAGCGUUGCUCGGAAUCAUUGGGCGUAAAGGGCAAGUAGGUGGUCUCAUUUGUCUGAUGUGAAAUCCUUGGGCUUAACCCAAGAAGUGCGCCAGAAACGGUGAGACUCGAGUUUCGGAGAGGGUCGUGGAAUUCCCGGUGUAGCGGUGAAAUGCGUAGAGAUCGGGAGGAACACCAGAGGCGAAGGCGGCGACCUGGACGAAUACUGACACUCAACUGCGAAAGCGUGGGGAGCAAACAGGAUUAGAUACCCCGGUAGUCC
RNAcentral lists this ribosomal RNA (450 nucleotides) under uncultured bacterium. RNAcentral's name for it is "bacterial SSU rRNA". It matches the Rfam family "Bacterial small subunit ribosomal RNA", at positions 355 to 796 of the family's 1533-position model. The record is from RNAcentral.